UUUACCUUUGUAAGACUAAAACAUAAGGUCUUUCUCACAGAAAAAUACAGUAAGAAACGAGCCCCUUUGCUUCUUCUUCUUCUCCUCUAAUCUUCCAUUAAUCUUCCCAGAUGCGCUACUAGAUCAUCUCUUUUCUAAAAGACUGGUAUGUCUCUGCUUUUUUCUCUGUUUAUUAGCAAUUUUUCUAUAGUAAAAAUUUUAGGGCUUUGGUAUAUGUAAAAUAAAUCAAGCUUUCAUCUCUUCUCCCUUCUUCUUUGUAGUAUGUGAAGUUAAAUAUGAAGUAGGGGUUGACAUAUUCUGGGUAUAUCUCAUUUGUGCAUAAAUAUAUAUUGUUAUUACUACUUAUUGUUGCUAAAAUCUGAUUUGGGGGUUUCUUUUAUGUUGAACUCUUGAUUAAUACCAAUUUUGGUGAUAUUUGGUGAUUAAAAUCUAAUUUAGGUGUCUUGAGAUCUGCAUGGCUUCCAAUUUUUUUAAGGUGAAGUGCUGAAAAACUCUACUUUGUUGGUGAACUUUCACGUUGUUUUGUCCUGCUUUUAAGACUGCUUUGACAUCAACCAAUUCCAGCAUCUUCCGAGUAACCUGUUCCUUCACUCUACCACUAGUAAUCUUGGAGUUUUGCCACUCUUUUAUGCCGCAUGUAUAGCUGGUUUGUGCAGAUGUUGAGACUGUAUUGCCACCCACCAGUUCCAACUUCUUAGCAUCAUCAAUCUUGUCAUUCAUAUCCUCCAAUGGUUCAUUAUGCUGCAAAACCUUAUAAGAGUUUAGAGUACACAACUCCUUUGCACCUUCUGUUUGAUCACCAUGCUGCACAUUAUCUAGACCAACUAUUUUUUGACUUGCAGCAAUCGUUUUGCAAGCUACCAGAGUCCAUACUUCCUCCAUAUUUUUCUCCUCAUUGUUGCUCAAUUUAUAGGCAUUCAAGCUAGCUAUAGAUGCACCAAUAUUCCCAGCCAAAAUGCUACUGGAAUGUGCAGCCACUUGAACACUUUCAUGUCUGGUUGUUUCCUUUUCUUGUUGCAACAGAUUUCCAGUCUGCACAUUUGCUUCUAUAUCCCUAUGGUUGCAUGAUUGCUCAGCUUCAACAUCUAUUUUUUUAAGUAUAAUUGAUUGAUAUACAUCCCAAGCAACAUUAGUAGCAUUCACCGCUUACCACAUUCACCAGUUGCAACUUCAAAGUGUUGCAUCAAAUUUCCAGCUUGGUCAUGAGCCACGCUUGAUGCAUACUCUUAGUUGGUGAUCGACUCACCUCUGCCCCGUCACUACCAGUUAAAUUUUGCAAAGCCUUAAUAACUGAAUUUUGUGUAGCUGCUAUCUCAAUGUGAGUUGUACCAGUUUUGCUUGACGCAUCAAAACCAAGUCCAGCUCUUUCCUCCUUUCUUUCAAGACCUCGACCAUUAUCGUGCAUAACAGUAGGUGUAGCCACUGCUGGUUUUUCAAUUACUUCACGUGCAGAUGUAGUAGCUAGAUCACCAAUCAUAAAUAACUUUGUAUGAUUUUGUAAAGCUGAGCCCACAGCCUGGUAAAUCCUCCCCAAAGCAGUAGCUGCAGGAAUAUCCCUAGGAGCUUUAGAUUUAUUAGAAGUUUUUCGUUGAUCCGUAUUACUCUGCACAGUAUUUUCAGCAGCUGUUUUCUUUUCAAUAAUUUGUCCAGUUUCAAUUUGAACUACAACUGCAUUAGGCACAUUUUUAAUAGCUUCUUUAACACAUGUAACAACAAUCCGAUCAGUUGGUGCAUUUUGAGAAACCCCAUGCUCCACUCGAACUUCAGUAGCUGGAAUAAUUGUGACAUUGAAUUUUGAUGAUUGCGAGCAUGUUCCUCCUACAUUCAUCUUCUCAGUCACACGAUCACCACCAUUACCAGUAGACGACACCAUAACAACCUUCUUCUUUUCAUCCAAUAAAGUCCUUAUAUCACCUUGAUAUUACUCAGCAGAUUUGCCUUCAUACGUAGCUUUUUGAUGAUCAUGACUGCCAUUUUUUUUCUAUUUUCUUGACAUAUGAGUUAUGUAGCUUUUUGCACCAUAGAAAGGGAUUUAGUUCAACCGGAUUUUGUUCCGAAAAUAUGUGAGACAAUUGGAUGAACAAUAGAGUUGUAAUGAGAUGCAAAGUUGUAACUGCAAGUACAAUAGAGUAAGAAUAAAAAGAAAAUGACAAUCAGAUGUGAUAUCUGUGACUAAAACUAUAGACUACUUGACUAACAAUUUGCUACUAAAGGAACCAUGUUGCUUUCUGCCAAAUUUGAUGUCCUUGUCCUCCAACAAAGCUGUAUACAUCCUUGCAAAAAUAGUAGAAGCAAGGACAUCUCUUGAAGGUUUAGGUUGCCCACUUCACCAAUUUUGAAGCAUCAUCUAUAUGAAAAAUCGGACCCUUAUCAUGUGAUGCUGCCGUAUUUUCACCAGUUAACAGAGCAGCAACAACUGCAGUCAUAGCCCCUUCACAAUUUUGCCCGGAAUUAGCCACACCACUAUUCCUCAUAGCAGACUGUUUUUGAACUUCAGCAGGUUGUAUGUGAAACACCUGCUGCUUACCACUAUUGUUAUCUUUUUCUGAUAUUUCCAUAAAACUUUGGCCAGCAGGAAUAACCAAUGCAUUAGUUCUUGUCUCCACCUGAGCAUUAAGAUUUCCAGCAUCGCAAUUUACAUGUGCACUAGUUGCCUGUUACAGAGUAACACUCUACUGAUUAGUACCACUUUGUGACAGCAAAAACUUCUGUUGCUCUAUGUGUUCAACUCCUUCUAUCAACAAUUGUCCAGCUCUUUUUGCAUUUAAAAAAUCCCUAGCAUCUCCUUGAAACUUUUGAGUUAUUAUUUUGAGUAUUUGGAUUUCUUGGAUAUGUUGGGAAGUAUAUAAUCUGAAUUUUUUUGUAGGGGCUAUUCUUUUUGUUCAUGUACUAUUGUAUACUUCUUGGUACCUCCAUUAAUAAACUGUUUUACCUUAUCAAAGAAAAUAAAGUUCUUUAUUUUUUGUAUAGGCUAUUAAAAAUGGUCGAGAUCCAACACUAAGUGAGCUACAUUUGCACGUUCAUACACAUGGUCAUGAUGAAAAAUCUUUUGUUAGUGAGUGAUCACGAAUUGUACAUGUAAGUCGAAAAUCUAAUAAUUUUACUAACUUUAUAUAUGACAUUCACGUACCACUUGAACUACUUGUUUUGCACAUGUUUCUGUCCUAAAGAUAAUUUUUGCGAACUUUUGAUUGAUUGAAGAACUUAACAGUUAUCAUUAAUGAAUUUCACUAACUAUUAUGCUAUUUACAAGAAAAAUAUCAGCAAAUAUUACAACAACGAACACAAACUCAAUCUGAUUUUGAUCAAUCUCUAGCAUUUUAUCAAGCUGCGGGAGGGGAAAAGAAGAGAAGAAUAUAUGGUCUUGGAUCUCAAGCAAAAUAUUUCUGUAAAGACCCGACUUGUCGUUUUAAGAAUUUAUGCCACGUUCAGUGACUUAAGGUCUCGAGCAUCCUCGCAAUAUGUAUUAUGACCCGCGUGUGUAGUCGAGUUUGAUUUACAGAUGAUUCGAAGAGAUUUGGGACACUUAGUCCCUAAGAUGGAAUCUUAAGUCUUAGGAUUAUUAUCGUAGUCGGAACUAUGUGAAGACGACACUGGAAUAGAGUUCUGUCGGUUCCGUUAGCUCCGUUGGGUGAUUUUGGACUUAGGAGCGUGUUCGGACUAUGAAUCUAAGGUCUGUAGCCAAUUUAGGCUUGAAAUGGCGAAAAUCAAAUUUUUGGGAAGUUUGACCGGGGGGUUUGACUUUUUGAUAUAGGGGUCGGAAUGCGAUUCCAAGAGUUGGAACAACUCCGUUAUGUUAUUGGGGACUUGCCUGCAAAAUUUGACGUCAUUCCGCGUUGGUUUGAUAGGUUUCAACACGCGUUUUAGAAGUUGGAAGGUUUGGAAGUUCAUAAGUUUGAUACACAGUGCGAUUUGUAUUUUCGGCGUUAUUUGAUGUGAUUUGAAUCCUCGAUCGAGUCCGUCAUAGGUUAUGAAACUUGUUGGUAUGUUUAGACGGGGUCCCGAGGGCCUCGGAUGUGUUUCGGAUGGGCUACGAGCCAUUUCCUUCUAUUUUGAACUGCUGUUUUCUGUCAUCUGGUUUUCUUCUACGCAAACGCGAAGGGAGUCCCACGUUCGCGAAGAGGAAUUUGAGGGGCUGGUGGUUUGGCCUUCGCGAACGCGAAGCAGGGGACGCGAACGCGAACGCGAAGAAGGAUCUGGGCAAGCCUUCGCGAACGCGGCCAAGACAACGCGAACGCGAAGAAGAAAGGAAGAGUGUGGCCUGAGGUCGUUUGGCCUUCGCGAACGCGAAGGAGCUAGUCAGCUGGUCAUCGCGAACGCGACGAGGAGGUCGCGAACGCGAUGAACGAUUCGAGGCAGUUGGGUUUUGGCCUUCGCAAACGCGAAGUAAUGGUCGCGAACGCGAAGAAGGCCUAUAUGGGCAGAAUUAAAAGUCCCAAAAAUGGGGGUUUGAGUUCAUAACUCAAAAUCAGAUUUGGAGCUCGAUAGAAGGCGGUUUUUUGAGAGAUUCUUGCGUGGCUGUUUGGAGUAAGUGAUUCUUAUCCAGUUUUGAUUAAUUUUCAUGAUUAUGUCUUUGAAUCCGUCAUUUAAUUCGGAUUUAAUGGAGGAAAAAUCAAGAUUUUUGUAAAAUCUUCCAAAAAUAAAAAUUUAAGAUUUGGAAGUCGAGUUGUUAUUGAAAUUCGAUAAAAUUGGUAUGGUUGAACUCGUAUCGGAAUGGGUGUUUGAAUUUCAUAAAAAUUAUGUCGGGUUCCGAGAGGCGAGUCCCGCGUUGACUUUUUGGAAUAAGUUUCUAAGUCGACGUUUUAUUAUCCGGAAUUAUUUUUGAUUAAUUUUAAUGAAGUUAUACAACUGAUUUGAAUAGAUUUGAGCUGUCCGGAAGCCAAUUCAAGCAAGAAGGCGAUUUUGGAAUAUCGGUAUAACUUCUAAAAAGUAAGUGUCUUGCUUAAUUUCGAGUGGGGGAAUUACCCCUUAGACAUUGAGUCUUAUGUGCAAUUUGUGUAAUUGAAAACCAUGUAUGCGAGGUGACGAGUACGUACUUGGUUUAUAUGUGCAAAUUUCAUUGAUUAAAAAUCCUUAGACGCCCUUAUGUAUUUAAUUGGAAAUUAUUGGCACUCAUUAAAUCCUCCAUUUGUCAUGCCUAGAUCCUUGUUUGUUGAAAUUAUUUUUUACAUAAUGAUUUGGUGUGAUUGCCACCUUGAUUUUUAUGUGAAAUAUUAUUUUGUUGAGUUGUUCACUUUCGG
RNAcentral lists this long non-coding RNA (5240 nucleotides) under Nicotiana tabacum (common tobacco). Its description in RNAcentral is "long non-coding RNA (NTAB_LNC018706)". The record is from RNAcentral. Lineage: Eukaryota; Viridiplantae; Streptophyta; Magnoliopsida; Solanales; Solanaceae.